This 464-nucleotide ribosomal RNA is filed under the name Vreelandella stevensii. Its description in RNAcentral is "partial 16S ribosomal RNA". It matches the Rfam family "Bacterial small subunit ribosomal RNA", at positions 339 to 795 of the family's 1533-position model. The record is from RNAcentral. Lineage: Bacteria; Pseudomonadati; Pseudomonadota; Gammaproteobacteria; Oceanospirillales; Halomonadaceae.
CUACGGGUGGCAGCAGUGGGGAAUAUUGGACAAUGGGCGAAAGCCUGAUCCAGCCAUGCCGCGUGUGUGAAGAAGGCCUUCGGGUUGUAAAGCACUUUCAGUGGGGAAGAAAGCCUUGGGGCUAAUACCCUCGAGGAAGGACAUCACCCACAGAAGAAGCACCGGCUAACUCCGUGCCAGCAGCCGCGGUAAUACGGAGGGUGCGAGCGUUAAUCGGAAUUACUGGGCGUAAAGCGCGCGUAGGCGGUCUGAUAAGCCGGUUGUGAAAGCCCCGGGCUCAACCUGGGAACGGCAUCCGGAACUGUCAGGCUAGAGUGCAGGAGAGGAAGGUAGAAUUCCCGGUGUAGCGGUGAAAUGCGUAGAGAUCGGGAGGAAUACCAGUGGCGAAGGCGGCCUUCUGGACUGACACUGACGCUGAGGUGCGAAAGCGUGGGUAGCAAACAGGAUUAGAUACCCGUGUAGUC